Molecule: unclassified non-coding RNA, 320 nt
Filed under: plant metagenome
Description: partial contains 5.8S ribosomal RNA, internal transcribed spacer 2, and large subunit ribosomal RNA
Rfam family: 5.8S ribosomal RNA (bases 1-105)
Source: RNAcentral
GAAAUGCGAUAAGUAAUGUGAAUUGCAGAAUUCAGUGAAUCAUCGUAUCUUUGAACGCACAUUGCGCCCGCCAGUAUUCUGGCGGGCAUGCCUGUUCGAGCGUCAUUACAACCCUCAGGCCCCCGGGCCUGGCGUUGGGGAUCGGCGGAAGCCCCCUGCGGGCACAACGCCGUCCCCCAAAUACAGUGGCGGUCCCGCCGCAGCUUCCAUUGCGUAGUAGCUAACACCUCGCAACUGGAGAGCGGCGCGGCCACGCCGUAAAACACCCAACUUCUGAAUGUUGACCUCGAAUCAGGUAGGAAUACCCGCUGAACUUAAGC